GUGCGAGACCGAUAGCGAACAAGUACCGUGAGGAAAAGAUGAAAAGAACUUUGAAAAGAGAGUUAAAGAGUACCUGAAACUGCUGAAAGGGAAGCGAAUCGUAUCCAGUGUCUAUAAUCUGCGGCAUAUUUCAUUGGCGGCAGUGUGCGUGCUUUUGCGUCGGAAGCGGCUUUUGUUGCUCUGUGCUUUUGCUGUGCGUGCUGUUGCUGGUGCCCUGUGUUGCGGUGGGACGUCAGAGUCAGUUCGUAUGCUGCGGGAAAUGGCCGCCGAGGAGGUAGGUCAGGACUUCGGUCUUGGCUGUUAUAUCUUGGUGGUUUGUUGUCGUGGUUGGGACUGAGGUGCCUACAAUGUGCUUUUGAGUGUGCCGGGUUCUCAUUUGGUGGACUGUUUGGAUAGCUUGCUAUGCUUGUGGUUUUUUCAUCGAGUGAUUGAGUCUGGUGGUAACUUGUUGCUGUUCGGGGCUUUGA
RNAcentral lists this ribosomal RNA (467 nucleotides) under uncultured Oomycota. RNAcentral's name for it is "LSU rRNA". It matches the Rfam family "Eukaryotic large subunit ribosomal RNA", at positions 326 to 633 of the family's 3401-position model. Lineage: Eukaryota; Oomycota. The record is from RNAcentral.